RNAcentral lists this ribosomal RNA (1677 nucleotides) under Triticum aestivum (bread wheat). RNAcentral describes it as "partial small subunit ribosomal RNA". The record is from RNAcentral. Lineage: Eukaryota; Viridiplantae; Streptophyta; Magnoliopsida; Poales; Poaceae.
AUGGAGAAGCUCGGCGCGAACCCGGCCAACUCCUGCCCGCUCACGCCGCUCGGCUUCCUGGAGCGCGCCGCCACCGUGUACGGCGACUGCCCCUCCGUCGUCUACGGCGGCACCGUCUUCACCUGGUCCCAGACCCACCGCCGCUGCCUCCGCCUCGCCUCCGCGCUCGCCUCCCUCGGCGUCUCCCGCCGCGACGUCGUGUCCGUGCUGCUGCCGAACGUGCCGGCCAUGUACGAGGCGCACUUCGGGGUGCCCAUGAGCGGCGCCGUGCUCAACAGCAUCAACACGCGCCUCGACGCGCGCACGGUGUCGGUCCUGCUCCGUCACUCGGGGUCCAGGCUCAUCCUCGUCGACCCGGCGCUGGUGCCGGUGCUCGACGAGGCGCUCCGGCUCCUCCCGCCGGGCCACCCGGCGCCGCGCGUCGUGCUCGUCGAGGACCCCCAGGAGAAGGACUUCUCUCCCGCCCCCGCGGCGGCCCUGACGUACGAGAAGCUGCUGGAGAUGGGCGACCCGGAGUUCAAAUGGGUCCGGCCGGCCAGCGAGUGGGACCCGAUGAUACUCAACUACACCUCCGGCACCACGUCGGCGCCCAAGGGCGUCGUGCACUGCCACCGCGGCAUCUUCGUGGUCACCAUGGACUCGCUCGUCUCCUGGUCCGUGCCGGAGCAGCCGACGUACCUGUGGACGCUCCCCAUGUUCCACGCCAACGGCUGGAGCUUCCCGUGGGGGAUGGCCGUGGUGGGCGGCACCAACGUCUGCCUGCGCCGCGUGGACGCCGCCGAGGUCUACGACACCAUCGCCCGCCGCGGGGUCACGCACCUCUGCGGCGCGCCCGUCGUUCUCAACAUGCUGGCCAACGCGCCCGAGGGCGUGCGGAGGCCGCUCCCGGGGAAGGUGCAGAUCCUCACAGCCGGCGCGCCGCCGCCGGCCGCAGUGCUGGGCCGCACGGAGGCCAUCGGGUUCGACGUCAGCCACGGGUACGGGCUGACCGAGACUGCGAGGCUGGUGCUGUUGUGCGCGUGGAAGGGCGAGUGGAACAAGCUGCCGGCGUCGGAGCGCGCGCGGCUCAAGGCGAGGCAGGGCGUGCGCACCCCCGGCAUGGCCGAGGUGGACAUCGUGGACGGCGAGACCGGCCGCAGCGUGCCGCGGGACGGCGCCACCAUGGGCGAGAUCGUGCUCCGCGGCGGGUGCGUCACCAUGGGCUACUUCAAGGACGAGGACGCCACCCGGGCGGCGAUCCGGGACGACGGGUGGUUCUACACGGGGGACGUGGGCGUGAUGCACCCGGACGGGUACCUGGAGAUCCGGGACCGGUCCAAGGACGUGAUCAUCAGCGGCGGCGAGAACAUCAGCAGCGUGGAGGUGGAGUCGCUGCUCUACGGCCACCCGGCGGUGAACGAGGCGGCGGUGGUGGCGCGGCCGGACGAGUUCUGGGGCGAGACGCCGUGCGCGUUCGUGAGCCUCAAGGAGGGCGCGUCCGGCGCGGUGACCGCGGCCGAAGUGAUCGCCUGGAGCCGGGAGCGCAUGCCAGGGUACAUGGUGCCCAAGACCGUAGUGUUCCGCGCCGAGCUGCCCAAGACGUCCACCGGCAAGAUCCAGAAGUACGUGCUCCGGAACCUCGCCAAGGAGAUGGGGCCGACCCGCAGGGGCGUCAGCACCACCACCAGCAAGAUGUAG